Daktulosphaira vitifoliae (grape phylloxera) is the source of this 757-nucleotide long non-coding RNA. RefSeq lists it as uncharacterized. The transcript has 3 exons. Lineage: Eukaryota; Metazoa; Arthropoda; Insecta; Hemiptera; Phylloxeridae. The record is from RefSeq and is a predicted model, not a curated record.
AUAUCUAUAUUAUUAAAUAUAUUAAAUAAUACUUUUAUUUUAAAAGUCAAACAGGAACAAGAACAUACAUGUAACAAACAAAAGAUGACAUAACCUACUUUUUUCUAACUGUUGUCACAGGGAUGAAGAAAAGUAAUAUGGUACCAACACUACAAGUGUUAUAUUCGUGAUACGUAUUAUUUUUUUAAUCAAAUGAGGAUCAGGCUCUUCAUUUGCAAGGCAGAAAACAUCAGAAAUUUGCAAUUUUAUUUUUGUGUAUACUAUCUUAAACCCAUGUUAUUUUAUAAAUAUUUAGAAUUUAUAAAUUAUAUUAUUGUUUUUAGUUAAUUCGUAUGUAAUAUUUUAACUACCAUUAAAUGUUGUUAUUUCAUUUCAUUUUCAUGAAGUAUUAUAAAUGUAAUUAUUAAUUAUCAUCGAUUCGAUAGCAUCAAAUACUUGUUAAUUGUUAAUGUUAAUUUGUAUAAUAUAAAAAGAUAUCUAACAGACUACUUGUUGGUCAGUGUUCCAUCGAUAUCAAUGGCACAACUUAAAGGAAAAGUGCUGUAUCAAUCCAAAAUUAUUUACAUAUUGUUAUACAAAAAUAUUUCUUUUGGUGCAAAAAAAUGAAUUUAGUACCCCAAAACAUGUUAUUCUAAUUGCAUCAAUGAAAAAUCUAAGACAAAUAAAAAAUUGUAUCAAAUAUUAGUGUACAAUCAAUAAUCAUGAAUUUUACAGAAUUUUUUUUCUUCAAGACACACAAGAACCAUUAUACACAUAC